UGAUUUUUAACUAUAUAAAAUCUUGUUUGAGGCUGGAGCCAACGUUUUUUUUUUUCGCUUUGAAGAUCAAAGGGACCUCAAAAAACGUGUCCCAACAUGCAGACGGGUGUUUCACGUGUCUAGUUCACGUGUCUAGCUAUCCAUCAGAUUCUAUGACCUGCAGUGUUGGAAAAAUUACUAAUUUACUUAGGUAAAAGUAUGUAAGUAUUACCAUUACUAUUAUUACCAAGUUAAAGCUAAAGUACAAAAUUAGCAGAAAAUCGGGGUGUGACUGAUAUAUAUGAAAUACAUUUAAGUGCAUCAUUGAAUACUUAUGAGUCGGUGCAUAAGCAGCCGAUUUUCUGGAAAGUAGCACUUUUUCCAAUACUGCAGGUCACAGAAUCGACUUUUUACCGUUCUUGCUUAAAUGUUUAUUUACUUUCUCAAACUUCAUUGCAUGUCUCAGUCAAAAUGCUGGUCCAGGUGAAGUACAGCCAACAGCAGAAGUAUGUAAAGUUGGAUGAGGAUGAAGGACUGUUUGACUUUCUGCAAUUCCAUGAAAAAGUUGAUAGAAGCUGUGCUAAGAGGCAAGUCUGGAGGUGAAGAAGUACUACAGAAGUACCAAACAACAGAAACCCUAACAGAUGCUGCAAGAAGACAAAUGGUUAAUUUCCUGGUGGCUCACAUGAUUGACAAUCAUGGGCACUGCCCCACUAAAACAAUCAGAGAAGAUUAUGCACGUGGGAUAGUGAUGCUGUUCCCUUCCCUUAAGGAUCCAUACUCCAAGAAGGGCUAUGAACACUUCUAUGAUGCUGCAAGCAGCACAGGAUACAUUUCUUGGCGUCUGAAAACAGUCCAGAGGAAGAUUCGUCAAGGAUCUGCACAGCCACUCUUUCAUCUCCUUCCACCACCUCCAGGGGGACUGAAGUCUCCAAAAAUUAGUGCAUGUGAUGCAGUUGAAAGACUUGUUGUAUUUCAUAAGUCAUGCUGCAGUUUGGAGGAGCAUCUCCGCAACCAGCAGGGUCGGCAGCCGUACCUCCUCGCUGUUGGGCGUCAGAAGAGCAAGAUUGACAGCCUCUACAUCACCAUGGAUAAGCGUCUCAUCCCAUGCAAGGCAAACCGCUUCCUCGGGGCAUGUGAUGAACUUUUCAAAGCACAUUUUGUGUUUAAUUUGUCUUACGAUGUGGCACUUGUGAAUUUUUAUACAUUCCUGCAGACAACAGUGUAUAACAUUGAUGUGGGGAAAAUGAAGGAGUCACCCAGAGUUAAAGACUUGAGAGCAAGACUGCUUAACCAGCCAGUAGCAUUCUCACCCUGUGAGUAAGAAGCUAUAACAAUGCUGACCUGUUUCAUGUGUUGAAAAACAAGCUAUUUACAGAGAAUUUUCAUGACCAUCAUCAUGCAUUCAGAGUAUUACAAAAUGCGGAAAGAUGUUUACUAAAAAUGUCUGCGCUUAAAUUUCAUAAACCGUUUCAUAUUCAAAGCUCAUACAAUGUUUUGGAUGGAAGUUUGUACAUUAUACCUUCAUUCACAAUGUUUUAAUUCAACUGACUGCA
This is a long non-coding RNA of Gasterosteus aculeatus aculeatus (three-spined stickleback), 1535 nucleotides long. Lineage: Eukaryota; Metazoa; Chordata; Actinopteri; Perciformes; Gasterosteidae. The record is from Ensembl.